GCCAGUGUGGCGCAACGGUCAGCGCAUCUGCCUGAUAAACAGAAGACCUGGGUUUGAAUCCCGGCACUGGUA
Molecule: non-coding RNA, 72 nt
Organism: Schistocerca cancellata (South American locust)
Lineage: Eukaryota; Metazoa; Arthropoda; Insecta; Orthoptera; Acrididae
Source: the annotation of a RefSeq genome assembly